RNAcentral lists this ribosomal RNA (506 nucleotides) under uncultured bacterium. RNAcentral's name for it is "partial 16S ribosomal RNA". It matches the Rfam family "Bacterial small subunit ribosomal RNA", at positions 30 to 523 of the family's 1533-position model. The record is from RNAcentral.
AUUGAACGCUGGCGGCAGGCCUAACACAUGCAAGUCGAACGGCAGCACAGAAGAGCUUGCUCUUUGGGUGGCGAGUGGCGGACGGGUGAGUAAUGUCUGGGAAACUGCCCGAUGGAGGGGGAUAACUACUGGAAACGGUAGCUAAUACCGCAUAACGUCUUCGGACCAAAGUGGGGGACCUUCGGGCCUCACACACUCGGGUGUGCCCAGAUGGGAUUAGCUAGUAGGUGGGGUAAUGGCUCACCUAGGCGACGAGCCCUAGCUGGUCUGAGAGGAUGACCAGCCACACUGGAACUGAGACACGGUCCAGACUCCUACGGGAGGCAGCAGUGGGGAAUAUUGCACAAUGGGCGCAAGCCUGAUGCAGCCAUGCCGCGUGUAUGAAGAAGGCCUUCGGGUUGUAAAGUACUUUCAGCGGGGAGGAAGGCGAUGUGGUUAAUAACCGCAUCGAUUGACGUUACCCGCAGAAGAAGCACCGGCUAACUCCGUGCCAGCAGCCGCAGUAA